Molecule: ribosomal RNA, 232 nt
Filed under: uncultured bacterium
Lineage: Bacteria
Description: partial 16S ribosomal RNA
Rfam family: Bacterial small subunit ribosomal RNA
Source: RNAcentral
UGAGCAAUCUGCCCUUCUCAUCGGAAUAAGCGUUGGAAACGACGUCUAAUGCCGAAUACGACCUCCUUUCGCAUGAUCGGAGGUGGAAAGCUCCGGCGGAGAAGGAUGAGCUCGCGGCCUAUCAGCUAGUUGGUGUGGUAAUGGCCCACCAAGGCGACGACGGGUAGCCGGCCUGAGAGGGUGACCGGCCACACGUGGGACUGAGACACGGCCCAGACCUCCGUACGGGAGC